This 253-nucleotide ribosomal RNA is filed under the name uncultured bacterium. RNAcentral's name for it is "partial 16S ribosomal RNA". It matches the Rfam family "Bacterial small subunit ribosomal RNA", at positions 524 to 776 of the family's 1533-position model. The record is from RNAcentral.
UACAGAGGGGGCAAGCGUUGUUCGGAAUUACUGGGCGUAAAGGGCGCGUAGGCGGCCUGCUAAGUCGAACGUGAAAUCCCCGGGCUCAACCCGGGAACUGCGUCCGAUACUGACAGGCUUGAAUCCGGGAGAGGGAUGUGGAAUUCCAGGUGUAGCGGUGAAAUGCGUAGAUAUCUGGAGGAACACCGGUGGCGAAGGCGGCAUCCUGGACCGGUAUUGACGCUGAGGCGCGAAAGCCAGGGGAGCAAACGGG